CGAGUUUUGCUUUUGGUCCCCAUCUGCCCUGAGUGUUUCCACCUGUGUCUCGUUUGUCUGUAUGGAUUUAAGUCCUGUCUUUCCCUUCCUCUUUCCCUUCCAUAGUUUUGCUAUUCCCCUUUUGAGUAUUACGAGAUUCAAGUUUGCUGUUUCUCCAUUUCUAGUGUUUGGAGUUUGCCUGCCUGCUCAGCAGUGUUUUUGUUUUCGUUUAUUUUAGUUAUUAAAGACCUGUGUUCCUGGAACCUUCUGCCUCCCCCACCUCUUUGCACCUGGGUGCUUCGCUUAACCCCGUCGUAACAGAUACAUGUGUGAUUUACACAAUUCAUAAGUGUUUCUUGCAUUUGUCAUUCGUCGAUGUGCGCAGAUGUCCAUGGAGGGUUUCGGCCGACAUGACUUUACAUGAAUUCGACUUUGAACUGUUCAAAAUUUUUGGUCAUUUGAGAAUUAUAUAUUUUCUGCAUAUUUAACGUAGUUUAUCUGCAAAUAUUACGCAACUCUAACACAAUUGUGUUGCAAAUUUGUGGCUUUCCACGACCGUUCCUCGUAUUUCUAACAGACUUCUCAUGCAUGUACCACCAAUGUAUAACUUUUAUAUCAUGUACACGGCGCACAUCUAGUGGGGCAAAAAAGUAUUUAGUCAGCCACUGAUUCUUCUUUUCCUAAUUUUGUCUCUUAUAAUUGAGGUAUACCAAAAAUGAAAAUUACAGGCCUGUCUCAUCUUUUUAAGAGGGAGAACUUGCGAAAUUGUGGGCUGACUAAAUACUUUUUUUGCCCCACUGUAACUUCCUUGUUUAUGGGGCUUUGGUGCAGUUAAAAAAACAUUCAUUAUUGUUUGCAUGUGUGUGAACACUCAAAUGAGCUGCACACAUCUGCAUGCAUGUUAAAAUAAUGCAUGAUAUCUAUUGCUUCUGCAAAUCCUUAAAGGUGCAAACAUAAUCUGCAAACAAAAGGAUGGCCUUCAGACUUCACACAAUCUGCUUCAGAGGAGCGGAUCAUACUUUUAGUGCAGCUUACAGCCCCUCACAACCUAACAAUACCGGUGCAACAAAAGCGGCGAGAAUGUCAUGGUGCUUGGCAGUUCACCUCCCCCUCCCACAGCUCUCCUUCCCCGCUGAUUGGAACCAGCUGAUCUUCAUCUCCUCAUCACCCUGCCGGCCUUCAUAAGUUUUCAUCCAUUGGUCACGCUGGUUCCAUGCUGGUCCCGCUGUCCUCGGCAUCCACGCCUCACCUCAAGCUGGUCCCGCUGUCCUCAGUGUCCAAGCCUCGCUCCCUCUGGCUCCACGGUCCGACGCGUCCACGCGUCGCCCCCUCACCCUCAUCAGCUCAAAGAACAUCAGGAUCAUUCCACGGAGGAAAUAACUUCCACAUUCCCUCAGAAACUGUAUUUACUGUUGGUAAAAUAAACCUUUUCAAGUUCA
This is a long non-coding RNA of Oryzias latipes (Japanese medaka), 1418 nucleotides long. RefSeq lists it as uncharacterized. Lineage: Eukaryota; Metazoa; Chordata; Actinopteri; Beloniformes; Adrianichthyidae. The record is from RefSeq and is a predicted model, not a curated record.